This 450-nucleotide ribosomal RNA is filed under the name uncultured bacterium. RNAcentral's name for it is "partial 16S ribosomal RNA". It matches the Rfam family "Bacterial small subunit ribosomal RNA", at positions 354 to 796 of the family's 1533-position model. The record is from RNAcentral.
GUGGGGAAUAUUGGACAAUGGGCGAAAGCCUGAUCCAGCCAUGCCGCGUGUGUGAAGAAGGUCUUCGGAUUGUAAAGCACUUUAAGUUGGGAGGAAGGGCAGUAAGUUAAUACCUUGCUGUUUUGACGUUACCGACAGAAUAAGCACCGGCUAACUUCGUGCCAGCAGCCGCGGUAAUACGAAGGGUGCAAGCGUUAAUCGGAAUUACUGGGCGUAAAGCGCGAGUAGGUGGUUUUGUAAGUUGGAGGUGAAAGCCCCGGGCUCAACCUGGGAGAUGCCUCCAAAACUGCAUGACUAGAGUACGGUAGAGGGUAGUGGAAUUUCCUGUGUAGCGGUGAAAUGCGUAGAUAUAGGAAGGAACACCAGUGGCGAAGGCGACUACCUGGACUGAUACUGACACUGAGGUGCGAAAGCGUGGGGAGCAAACAGGAUUAGAAACCCGUGCAGUCC